This 330-nucleotide RNase P RNA is filed under the name Mycoplasmatota bacterium. RNAcentral describes it as "Bacterial RNase P class B". It matches the Rfam family "Bacterial RNase P class B". Rfam says of the family: Ribonuclease P (RNase P) is a ubiquitous endoribonuclease, found in archaea, bacteria and eukarya as well as chloroplasts and mitochondria. Its best characterised activity is the generation of mature 5'-ends of tRNAs by cleaving the 5'-leader elements of precursor-tRNAs. Cellular RNase Ps are ribonucleoproteins. Lineage: Bacteria; Bacillati; Mycoplasmatota. The record is from Rfam by way of RNAcentral.
GCAUACGGGUAAUCGAGCAGUUUUUACUGUUAGGAAAGUCCAUGCUAGCACAAACUGAGAUGUUUGUAGUGUUUAUGCUAAGGGAAAAAAUAACCUUAGGCACGAAAGUGACGGCUGGUAAGUUACCUAAGUUUAGAUAUGGUAACACCUAUAAAAGUGCCACAGUGACGAUGCUACACGAAAGUGUAGAGUGGAACGGGUAAACCCCAUAAGCUAGAAACCCAAAUUAUGGUAGGGGCACUCUUUGAAGAGAAUUCAAUCUAUCAAGGAGACGUAUUUCGUAGAUAAAUGAUUACCGCUUUUUAAAAGUACAGAACAUGGCUUAUAGUA